RNAcentral lists this ribosomal RNA (368 nucleotides) under uncultured organism. RNAcentral's name for it is "bacterial SSU rRNA". It matches the Rfam family "Bacterial small subunit ribosomal RNA", at positions 526 to 896 of the family's 1533-position model. The record is from RNAcentral.
CGGAGGGUGCAAGCGUUAUCCGGAUUCACUGGGUUUAAAGGGUGCGUAGGUGGGCAAGUAAGUCAGUGGUGAAAUCUCCGGGCUUAACCCGGAAACUGCCAUUGAUACUAUUUGUCCUGAAUACUGUGGAGGUCAGCGGAAUAUGUCAUGUAGCGGUGAAAUGCUUAGAUAUGACAUAGAACACCAAUUGCGAAGGCAGCUGGCUACACAAAUAUUGACACUGAGGCACGAAAGCGUGGGGAUCAAACAGGAUUAGAUACCCUGGUAGUCCACGCCCUAAACUAUGGAUACUCGACAUUUGCGAUAAACUGCAAGUGUCUGAGCGAAAGCAUUAAGUAUCCCACCUGGGAAGUACGAUCGCAAGAUUG